UACGGAUGAUGCGAGCGUUAUCCGGAUUUAUUGGGUUUAAAGGGUGCGCAGGCGGAUUUUUAAGUCAGCGGUAAAAUCGAGGGGCUCAACCCCUUUAAGCCGUUGAAACUGGCAGUCUCGAGUUGGAGAGAAGUAUGCGGAAUGCGCGGUGUAGCGGUGAAAUGCAUAGAUAUCACGCAGAACCCCGAUUGCGAAGGCAGCAUACCGGCGCUCAACUGACGCUGAGGCACGAAAGUGCGGGUAUCGAACAGG
This 252-nucleotide ribosomal RNA is filed under the name uncultured Bacteroidales bacterium. RNAcentral's name for it is "partial 16S ribosomal RNA". It matches the Rfam family "Bacterial small subunit ribosomal RNA", at positions 524 to 776 of the family's 1533-position model. Lineage: Bacteria; Pseudomonadati; Bacteroidota; Bacteroidia; Bacteroidales. The record is from RNAcentral.